GCCCGCCUAGCUCAAUCGGAUAGAGCGUCAGACUCUUACUAGUGGGUGAUCUGAAGGCUGCGAGUUCGACCCUCGCGGUGGGCU
Molecule: non-coding RNA, 84 nt
Organism: Trametes polyzona
Lineage: Eukaryota; Fungi; Basidiomycota; Agaricomycetes; Polyporales; Polyporaceae
Source: the annotation of a GenBank genome assembly